Elaeis guineensis (African oil palm) is the source of this 123-nucleotide small nucleolar RNA. The record is from RefSeq and is a predicted model, not a curated record. Lineage: Eukaryota; Viridiplantae; Streptophyta; Magnoliopsida; Arecales; Arecaceae.
CAACAAAGUCACAUAAUUAAGAUGGUGAACACUUUUGAUAGAGGUCGAAAGUUAUAGUAAUGCAAUUUUCGGUCUCCCUGAAAUUUUGCUGUUUGAAGAUGGCCUUGAACAAAUUGCUACAUU